This 1328-nucleotide long non-coding RNA is filed under the name Vitis vinifera (wine grape). RNAcentral describes it as "long non-coding RNA (VVIN_LNC004170)". The record is from RNAcentral. Lineage: Eukaryota; Viridiplantae; Streptophyta; Magnoliopsida; Vitales; Vitaceae.
CCAUGAGCUUCUCUCCUUAUUUACCCAAUAUAUCACUAUUGCAGAAUCUCCUUCUACUAGAAGGUUAGGUAAACCCUCAUCUUUAGCAAGCUUUAGUCCUACCAUCAACACUAAAAUCUCUGCUUCAAUGGCUAGACCCACUCUAGCAUUCUUAGGGAAUGCUUUCACUUAUGCCCUUUUAUGAUUUGUAAGUGUUCCUCCAAUUCCCAAUUGUCCUAGGUUGUCCGAGGAGCAUACAUCAAAAUUUAACUUGUUGCAUGGGUUGUUUUUAUCAAUGUUGUUCUCUAUGCAUAGUAAAGAGACCCUUAAAUUUUGAACCUAUCCAAUUGCAUCGAUUUCUUCCUUCAAACUCAAGUUGAGCCUUCAAAUUUUUUGCUUGCUGUCAGAUUGACAUGAUUCUUCCACAACAUGAUGGACCUGGCAGACACUCAGCUUCUGCCUACAGUUGCAGUCUACCCUAUGUGUAACUUAGAGGUUGUGCACCAAGUGCUGAUGUUAUGAGGGAUCAAGGGUGGCUUGUGGAGCAGUCCCCUUUUAAGAGUAGGACCAGCACUCUAUCAAUUGGUUCGGGUGUUCUGUAACUUUGGGACACCUAUAGUAUCUAGAUAAUCCUGCAAUUCUGGAGAAAACCCUUCUGAUUUGCUCUGUACCCACUAGUCGAGAAUAGUAAAAAGCUUUAUUCAGCUGUAAUAAUUUUAUUACUUAGAUUGAAUCUUAAUCAUUAGGUUAGCAGAUCAGGAAAAAGUGUCAUGGUUUUGAAUGUUUGUCUCUUUAAUAAUUGCAUUGUGUAUUGAUCCACAAAGUUUGCAGCAUGACAGCAUGACAGUGUGUAUUGAUCCACAAAGUUUGCAGCAAUUGUGGAAUACUAUGGUAGUACAAUAUAUUGAUCCACACAGUUUGUGGCAUGACAGUUUAAGGAAAUUACAGAAGUGUAGCACUGAUGGGUAUGUCAUGUGAACAUUUUUCAAUGGAGCUACUUGUUUAAAUUUACAUGGGUGAAUUGUCACACCAAUAUCCUCUGAUGAACCUUGGGUUUUUUUUUUUUUUUCUUUUUCUUCCUCUCUUGGUCAAGCCAAACAAUUUGUCUUCAUGAGGACUUCAUGUUACCAAUAAGCAGCAUCUUGUGUUCUCCUUCUCUUCAUCCCCUUGUCAAGACAACAAUUUGAUGCAUCUUUGCAUUGGGUUGCUUCCUCUCCCUCUCCUUCCUCCUUGAGGCAAAACCAUAUCAUUGCUUAGUUUUGACUAUGUUCUUUUGAUCAUUGUGAGAAAGCAUCAUUGUAAGAUGUACAAGAAACGUGUUGUGGUGCAUUAUCCCCUUCUCUACCACC